Nomascus leucogenys (northern white-cheeked gibbon) is the source of this 267-nucleotide long non-coding RNA. RefSeq lists it as uncharacterized. The record is from RefSeq and is a predicted model, not a curated record. Lineage: Eukaryota; Metazoa; Chordata; Mammalia; Primates; Hylobatidae. The transcript has 3 exons.
AAGGAAGUGUAAAACAAUGUGAAAUCAAUUAUGUAAAGAAAUUUCAGAGCUUCCAAGACCACAAACUUAAAAUAAGUAAAGAAGACAGUGAAAUUCUUAAAAAGGCUCAGAAAGAUGGAUUUUUGCACGAGAUGCUUCUGGAUAGGAGAGCCAAAUUGAAAGCUGACAGAUACUGCAAGUGACUGGGAUUUUUGUUUCUGCCUUAUCUUUUUGUGUUUUUUUCUGUGUUUGGUUUUUUGUCCUCGCGACAGUUGGCUGAGAAUAAUG